This 448-nucleotide unclassified non-coding RNA is filed under the name uncultured fungus. Its description in RNAcentral is "partial contains 5.8S ribosomal RNA and internal transcribed spacer 2". The stretch from base 1 to 133 matches the Rfam family "5.8S ribosomal RNA", at positions 22 to 154 of the family's 154-position model. Lineage: Eukaryota; Fungi. The record is from RNAcentral.
UGGCUCUCGCAUCGAUGAAGAACGCAGCGAAAUGCGAUAAGUAAUGUGAAUUGCAGAAUUCAGUGAAUCAUCGAAUCUUUGAACGCACCUUGCGCCCUUUGGUAUUCCGAAGGGCAUGCCUGUUUGAGUGUCAUUAAAUUCUCAACUUCAAAAGCUUUUGUCUUUUUGAAGCUUGGAUGUGAAGGUUUGCUGGCGUUUCAAAUGUUCAGCUCCUUUAAAAUGUAUUAGUGGACCCAUUUGUGUUCAGCCUUAGUGUGAUAAUUAUCUAUGCUAUGGUCUUUGAAUACAUGCUCAUUAGAGCUUCGAGCUGUUAUUAACAGUCUCGGUGUGGAGAGUUGCAUGAACUUGCUCUUUCUGUCUUUUGAGUUAGGAUUGUUUGCUUCUAACCGUCUGCGUAUGUGGACAAUUUGAACCAUUUGACCUCAAAUCAGGUAGGACUACCCGCUGA